AAAGCCCCCCCCUCUCGUCAACCCCCCCUCGAACUAGCCCUCAUUCAAAAAUAUCAAAAAUAAAGAAAGCACCCAGGGGGCUAAUUUGAGGAUUUAUGGUAACUAGCAGCUAUGCCUCAAGCAAAUGAAAAGACAUUAAAAAGCUGAUGAAUCAAAUAAGAUUUACGGUUUUAGCUAACUAAAUAUGUUUAAGAGCAUUGGAACCACCACUUAUCAAUUUCUAGCCAUUGUUGGAAAACACUUAUCAUUUAUUUGGAUAUUUUCACGGUUCCAAACACGAAAUCGCAAAAAUAAAUUGACCAUUAAACUUUCCUCCGAUAAAACAUAAUCACAAAUUAGAAUGACGAGAAAUCUUGCAAGCAAAAACAUUUUUUGACACUUGCGGAUGUCAUACCCCAAAACCAAGGUAUUCGGUACUUUAAAUUGAUAUAUAUACAUAGUUUAAAGAUAUUUCGCAAUGACUCUUUUUUGUUUUAAAAGGAAAAUUUCAUCCUGACAUCAAGUAUAACAGGGACCAAACAAUAGAUAGUGUUAACUUAAUUUCAUAGUUUGAUCCAGAGCUGACAAUGAUGUUUAGUUAUGAUCAAUUGAAGAGGUUUUACGCAUCUUAUUGUUCCUUGUCACAUUGGGCAAUAAAAAUCCUCUUGGGCAAAAUCUCCCCAAAAUCUUUGUAAAUCCUAUUUUUCUAAAAUGAUCUCCGCUGCAUGGAUAAACUGAUACACCCUUUUUGCCACAGUGUCGUUGGUACCCCUGGGAGUCACGUUGACAUCUUAUAUACAUUCAGAAAUGCAGGGGGGUUGGGGUUCAUUUGCAGUUAUCAAAAUUCACCUUAAGGUAUCAAAUUAAUCAGACCUUUAAUUAUCAGCUAAAACAUUUUGGCAAGACCCAAAAAAAAACAAAUACCUUCUCUUGUUUUCGAACACAUUAGAGGACGCUGGUCAAGAGCAAUUUAGACUGGCUCAACCAAGCUAUACAAAAAUGUUAUCCUUGGUAUAGUUUAAUAUUGAAAAGGGAAACCCUCUUUUAGAUUCAUUUUUUAGCAAUUCAAGUUAGCAGAUUUCUCAAAGUUGUCAAAUUCAAGUUAGCAGAUCUCUCGGAAUUGUCAAAGGUGGAUUUGUUUCAUUUAUAUCAAUAAAAAUGGAAUGCUUAGACAAAAUUCCUAUUUCCAAAAGCUGGUCCCUAGACCAAUAUUGGCAAAUAUGAUACCCUUGGCUACACUUUGGCUUGACCAAAAUAGCAAAAAAAUACUCCCUUGCCUAAACUAGAAGUCCGAAAAAGUAUACGCUUGCUUGCAGCACAUCCUCAAGUUCACUUCUUUUCUAUCAGUACAAUUUUAUAAGAACACGAGCCUCAGAAUUGGUAAAAAAUUAAGAGCAAGCUAAGGCUGAGCUACUGUAAAUUGCAAUCUUGAACAAUCUUGUGAAACGCCCUUUAAGAAAUUUUAUGCUCACAUUCUAAUAAUUUAAGAUUAAAUUUGGAAUAUUUCGAAACAAAUCAGAACAACCAGCCUUAAUUCAACUUAUCUUUACUACCCUCCCCCCUGACUGUGUUACUUUUGACAGCUAUAAAAGAGCACACCUUGCCAAUUAUCCUUAGUCUGCUCUCGAAUCCUAACAGAAAAAGGUGGUCAAGUCUCGUCGUGAGAGAUGGCAAGCUUCCAAAUUACAGAUGUAGAUAUCUUGAUGGACGAUACUGACAUGGUAAAGUCAUUCUACAUUAGUUACAUUAUGCAAUUAUCAUCACACAAUUCUUGAAUACUUGCAAAGCAUUGUACUAAAAGAUAGAUACAAUAAAAAUAUUACACUCUUUUUUCAUAAGAACAAUUUUAUACCAACACGAGACUCAAAAUUGGUCAAAAGUUAAGAACAAAUUAAGAACAAGGUGAGGCUGAGCUACUAUCAAAUGCAAUUUUGAGGAAAGCUUUCUCUCAAAAACGAGGAUUUUCAGCCAUGUGUUGGUACUUUUUCCGUGAAUAGUCAAACAUUUCGCCAUAUGUUGAAACGCACUACCGCGUCUUCUUUGUUACUUGUAUCAAAAAACUUUCGUAAAUGUCUUCAUUUCUCUUUGGUCCUCAAUUUUGUACCUAAAACUUUGUUAUUUGCAUAUCAUUAUUCAAGAAAUCAUGUAAUAGCAUAAGUUGUUGAAUAAGUCCCCACAUUCGAAUAAUCCCUCCUCUUGAGUAAAGUCCCCAGCCAAAGGUUUAUUGAUCGUCGUGAAAUUUCAAAACAAGGUAUCAGGAUAUUUUCUUGUUCAACUCUUUUACUUUUUUGCAGCAUAGCCUGUCCUAGCCUUAAAAUUAAUUUUCAUGACAUUAGAAAUAAAAAAAUUGCAGGACUAUUUAUCUCAGUCACAAGGCCUUCCAAAAUCAGGCAAAAUUUGCGACAGCUUUGGUGAGAAGAUAUGGGGCUGGCUUGAUUGUCAAUGGGUCUCUGGCAAAAGGGGACCUUUCCGUUUGGAAAGGGGUCCUUAUAAUUUUGAAAACAGAAUAUGUAAGCGAAAAUUCUGCCAGAAAUUACAAUUUGGCAAAGCACAUAAGUUACAUGAAAACAACUAUUGGUUUCUUUCACCAGAGGUUUGUACAUUCUUACGACACAUAGCUUACAACGUAAUCUGGGACGGAUUUACGGGGAAUGUGUUUGUGCUAUUGGUUAAAUUUUGUUUUUAAUUCGGUAAAAAGCUUUUUUGGUAGUCAAUAGUAACGAAAUAAUGCCAAUUUUGUUUAACUAGUAACCGUUGGAAAUUUUUGUUUGAAAUGCGAAGAGGUAAAGACAUUUUAGUUUGAAAGUGAAAUUUAAAAUGGGUGUUUCCAUCAUUUUUGAGGCACCUGAAGGGCGUGGCACGAAAAGCCAAUCAUUAUUCAACACCCUCCCCUCCCCAAUCCUUGCAUCUAAAAUCUACCCAUGGAUGUGAUAGAAAAUUACAUGCUAUGUUUUCAAAGCAAUGUAUAAUUUACAUAAAGCAUACAAAAACUACAUCGAUACAAACUAUAAUUGAUCAAAGUAACAACAACUUUCUAUGUUAAAACAUAUUUGAAGUUUGUUGAACAAGACAAUAUUUUUUGUGCAUAGUAUCAAAAUCAUGCAAUAUAGCAGUUUCAUUAUUGAUUUCUCAGGUGCAAAUCUCAAAUGGAAAACUUUUGGAUGAAAACGAAAUGCUGUAUAUGGUCAUGCUCGAAAUCCUGAUGUAGAGCUGCUGUGUCAACGAAGAAAAUGCACUAAAGUUAAUAAAAAUAUCUUCAAUCUAACAAGUUACUUCAAGUGCAAUCGCCCAGCAGUUUCAUUAGCCAUAGCAUUCACGUUGGCAAGGCUUUUUAGACGUUCAAGAAGUAGUAUUGAGCGUAUGCAAAAUGUUAUAAUUACUAUUAUCCUUUCCAUUUCUUUUUUUGUCUGAUGGCUAAUACAAGUACAAGUGUAAUCAGAACGGAUGUCAUGCUACUAUUUUAGCUGCUUCAAACUUCCUACUCUGUCACGAAAAGAAGGAAAAAAUUAGUAACUACUUGUUGCUUCAGCCUAGCCCAUCUACUUCUGCAAGUCUACAGAAUUCUCAAAAACAUGUUAGAAAGCAUAUAGGAAAGCUUACAAAUAUGCAUAAAAUUAGAUUAUUUUACUAUAAUAAAUGUAUGGUGCAGUUGAGAAAACUGCCAUGUAUUGCUGCUGCUGGCUGAUUUGCUGCUGGCUGGUGGCAACCAGUGUACAGCUGGAAUCACGUCGUAAGUCCAAAUUAUUUGUUAGAGUCCGACAAGCUCCUUCCCCCCUCCCAUUCUAGCGUACAGCUGGUAGAAAAAAUAGAUUGCAAACAUUGAUAUGCAUAUCAACACACCACAUUAUAAACAUUGAUACAUUUUCCUUUCCAUUCUCUAGCAUAACAGCUGGAUACAUAAUACACUAAGAUUAUAACUACUAACAGUAACAUUGUGAAUCUUUGAUUACUUACAAUAACUAGGAGUGAUACAAAACAUUUUGAUGUGUUUACCAACUAUAGUUCAAUUGCUUUCUAUAACUAAUACAAAUUCUAGUUCAUUUUCCUUAUAUCAUAUCAUUCUGUAGAAAAUUGUUUCUUAUCCUUUUCUACCUUUGGUUUUUUUAUAUUCUGAUAUGCAAAAACUUUUUCAUUUCUGAUUUGCUUAUUUUUCAUACUCAAAGGCAUCAUGCUGGUAGUCUCACGGCACAGCAAUAUGGUUCUAUCGCUGAAUGAUGUCGCAAAUGCCAAGUGUUUGACAGAACACCGUUUGCAAGUCCACGAAGGGCUGCAGCAGGGGUCGCUGAUAUAGGAAGAGUCGAAGAGGUAUACUUUCUAAAUUUACGUGUCAUUUAGGUUUUACUAACGUACUAUUUACUUACUAUACAUCUGCUAACAAUUCACAUUUCUUCGGAUUCAUAUCGGCUGUGAGAAGAUUCACUUCAUCCGUUGGGUUUGCAGAAGAGAGUGCAUAAUACCUUUUAUAUGUGAACCUCCUAUAAAAUUUGAUAGUGGCAGCAAUGUUUAUUCUAAUUUGGUUUCAUCAAUUAAAUGUAGGUUGAAAGGUAGAAAAAUUUGUGUUGAGUUCAAAAGAGACUUGCUUGAUGAAGAUGAAAUUUACAGGAAUGAUCUGUGCACAAUAUCCAGUAGGUCCUUGAUUUUAUUUUAGACUGUUCCAUGUAGGUAUGAUCUGCGUUCGCAACUCGCAACGAACCGAGUUGGCAAAUAAAGAAGAGGAGCGUAGUUCAGACAUUAGCACAAACUCACCCUCAGAAGAAUCCUCUGUGUUUAAAAUUCUGGAGAACAAAUCUGCUGAAAAUCUGAAAAGUAGCCCUCCAAUGGCCCUGCUUAGCAAAGAAGAGAAGAUUUCAAGACAGUCCAUCAGUCAGCCAAAAGGUUUCAAAAUUCUCGACCAGGUAUUAGUUAGUGAUUGUAUCAGUCAAGUAGCUUUUCGCAGUUCAUGCAAGAACCCGGAUAGCCAACUUGUCCUUCUUCAAAUUAAUACAAAUAAACAAGGAUUAGCUGAGGUUUUAUAUCUAAAAUGCAGCUUAUGUCAAACUUCAACAGAACUAAAAACAUCCCAAAUAGCUAAAGAGAGUUCAGUGUCUUAGGUGAACUUCAGAUCUGUUUAUGCUGCACAGAGAUUUGGUUUUGCAGCUGUUGAAGAGUUUUGCACUAUAAUGAACUUACCCAAACCAGUUUCAAAGAAAUCCUACAAUAAUAUUAGCAAGAUGUUAAACAAGCAGCGCAAGAAACAAGCAGUAAGAAACAUGAAAGAUGCUGCAAGCCGUCUGAUUGAUUUAACCAGGGAAAACAAUCCUGAGGAUGUUGAGGUCGCUGAAUCUGGAGCUGUGAUCUGUAAUGUUGCUGUCACUGUUGAUGGUACAUGGUAGAAGAGAGGUCGCAGUUCCAAGAUUGGUGUCAUAUUUGUACUCUCUGUAGAGACAGGUGAAGUAUUGGACUAUGAAGUGAAAAGCCUUUAUUGUCAUGAAUGUGUCACAAACAAAAUAAAAGAGAAAAAUGUGAGAAAUGGCGCACACAAAACCAAAAUGAAUCUGUAUAUGGUUUGUUGUGGUCAAAAUGCCCCAAAGCAAACUUUUUUGGAGGAAGAAGAGUAGAGACAGCAGUUUCUGAAACCAUCUGCCAUGUCAAUAGUGGAGCUGCCACCAAGGCUGCUGUGGUCGAGGAAUGUGGUUUUGAACAUGGUAAAAAUAUGUUGUCUGGCUUCAGAAAGACUGACAAAGAAAGAAUAAGAAGUGCAGAAACAAAGGUAUCUGAAAAGUACCGCCUUCAUAGUAGAAAGUGCAGAACUGACAAAAAUUCUAAAGGGGAAUCCAACAGCAGUUCUGCCACUUACCAGGCUGGUGCAUUUGGGCUUUCUUCUACUCCAGAAACAGGGUUUGAAAAACUACAAAAUAAGGUAACAAAUAAUAAGAUAAAAGAAGGGAAAAGAAAAAAGAAGGCCUGUUAAAGAAACAAGCCAAAUCCUUCCACAGUUCCUGCUCAUGAAGCUAUUUCUGUUGAUGAAAUUUAAGUGACAGUCUUUUACUGAAUAUUAAUCCUUUAUGGUCAUAAUAUGGCAUCUGAUAAUUUAUUUAUAAAUUUUUGAUUAAUCCUAACUUCUCCAGUCUGCUAGUCCAUCAAACUUGUAUUAUUGUACCAUCACUAAACUAACUAGCUAACUUCUCCAGUCUGCUAGUCCAUCAAACUUGUAUUAUUGUACCAAGUUAUACACGGUGUCACAUAGUGUACUGGUGUCACUAUCUUGCAAAGAUGUAUCCCAUCUUUGUUACAAAAAAGCCUUUUUGAGUAGCUCAUUACUGAUGCAAAAAGUUUUUGCAUCAGUAAAAUAAAUUGAUGGCAUUACAGGAACAGGUUAAAUGGCAUCUGGCUAUUAUGAAAAGAUCCUUCCCUCAUUUUCUUAUAAUCAUACGCUAUAAAAUUUUCAAAGUUGAUUUUAUGAAAACUACAUUUUUCAUGCCAAUGAAACUUGUCCUGAAGAUAAUUGCUGACAGGAAGAUGAUAGAAGGCUAUUUUUUUGUACAGUUGUCUUUUCUGUACAUUCUAUACACUGAAUAAAACAUUUUUUAAAACUGUUUUCAUUCAGGGGGUAAGACAUUUAAGAAUUACGUUUUUGUGUGUGACCCCCCAGAAAAUUGAACUUUUUCAAAAUUAAUUCAUUUAGUGUAUAGAGCAUAUAAAAUAGUAUACAAUUGCUGAAAAUCAACUCCCCAUUGCUUUUAGUUUUAAGUAUAUUUGUUGGAAACAAAACGGACUGACCUUUUUCAUGACAUUACCGUUACCCCCGUGUUAAUUAUGGUCUUUUUCCAACUUUUCUAUUGUAUCUUGAUAAGCAAAGACUAACUACUAUUUGUGUAUCUUUUCAUGAGAUUUGGUACAGUAUGUUCUUUACUUGUGACAAAAAAGUAAAAUAUGGAUAUUUCAGAGCUACAGGGUAUACUGCUACCUUAACAGUGCUACACCUUGUAUCACAAACUCAAUUAAACGUAAAAGUCGCAGGAAUGAGAUGUUUAUACCUUUGUUGACACGCUAAUCCCUCUUCUUUUUCGAAUCACUGUUUUAUUAUAGCUCAGGAAAAAUAUUUUCCAAAUAUUGUGUUUGAAAAAAUUGUUUUAAUUCUUCUUAAAUGCAAAUGAGAAAGUGCUCUCUUUCUAUCAACUACCUUUUGAGUUAUGUGGCAUCUGAUUUGUUUUCCUUUUCCAAAUUAGGGAUUUCUUUUGGCAUGGGCAGUCCAUUUUGAGAACAGAUGGUGACAGCUGGAAGAGCAUAGUUCCUUCCAUAAGACAGUUUCCUUUGGAGUGCCUUCCACGAAAGCAACAGAGAUGGUGCGACGGAAUGGAACUUGUCUUAUUUAUAGAGGCCCUUUAUCUACAAAGCAUGGACCAGAAAAGGGAACUAAAGGACAGUUUGUCCGAAGUAAUUGAGACGCAAACCAAGUCCUUUUUAGACAAGAAGCCGCUUAUUGAUAGGCUGGAGAAAAAUAUGGCAAACAAAAUCAAAUUAAACGAUGCCCAUGACUUGCUUCACUAGUCCAGAAGCAUAAUGGAAAAUGCCUACUCGAGGCCGAUUUAUUUUGGAAAGGCCGGCUCUUCAUGCACCAGAAAGCCGCUGAAAGUCAGGGACCCAGAGCUGACCAUUUGUGCUAAAGGACACAAAAUACCGAAAAAUAUGUUUUCGUCCACCCUUCAGGAGUGGCUCGACUAUGGUACGUUUUUUCAUUCAUAAGAUUAUAUGUAGCAUUGGCACCAAUAACUAUUAUUAAUUAUUCUUUACCAUAUUUUGAUAUAAACAUGUAUCAGGCACUGCCUAUCCUGAAUGCCUUAAAUGAAAUGCCAAGAUACGCUGUGCCACAAGAGGCUUUGUUAGUCUAUACGGUUAGAUUUCUUUAAUUUUCAGCCAUACCUGUCUCUCGACCCUUAAAUCUCUAAAUCCAAUUCACUUAUUAUGUAAAUUUUCAUGUAUAAGGGGGGGGGGGUGUCGAAUAAUAAACCUUGACCGCAAUGGCAAAAAAUGCUAGAAACAAAAGGCAGCUAAUAGCUCUAAUAGUAGGUUGAUUUUUUUUUUUAAUUUUUUUCACGGUUGAUUGAUUUUCUUUAUUUUUUUUAUCUUUUCCAUAAUUCAUUGAUUUUAUUUUUUUUUUAUUUUUAUCAUGGUUGAUUUUUUUUUAAUUGUUUUCAUGGUUGAUUGAUUUUCUUUAUUUUUUUAAUUUUUUUCAUUAAUGAUUGAUUUUCUUAAAUUUUUAAUUUUUUUUAUUGUUGAUUGAUUUUCUUUAUUUUUUUAAUUUUUUUAAUGGUUGAUUGAUUUUCUUUAUUUUUCUUAAUUUUUUUCAUUGUUGAUUGAUUUAUCUUUAUUUUUUUUAAUUUUUUUCAUGGUUGAUUGAUUUUCUUUAUUUUUUUUUUUUUUAUCAUGGUUGAUUUUUUUUUUAAUUGUUUUCAUGGUUGAUUGAUUUUCUUUAUUUUUUUAAUUUUUUUCAUUAAUGAUUGAUUUUCUUAAAUUUUCAAUUUUUUUCAUGGUUGAUUGAUUUUCUUUAUUUUUUUAGGUUUUUUCAUGGUUGAUUGAUUCUUUUUAUUUUUCUUAAUUUUUUUCAUUGUUGAUUGAUUUAUCUUCAUUUUUUUAAUUUCUUUCAUGGUUGAUUGAUUUUCUUUAUUUUUUUUAAUUUUUUCAUGAAUGAUUAAUUUUCUUUAUUCUUUUAAUUUUUUUCAUGGUUGAUUGAUUUUUUUUAUUUUUUUUAAUUUUUUUCAAGGUUGAUUUUAUUUUCUUUAUUUUUUUUAGUUUUUUCAUGGUUGAUUGAUUUUCUUUUUUUUUAAAUUUUUUUCACGGUUGAUUGAUUUUCUUUAUUUUUUUUAAAUUUUUUCAUGAAUGAUUGAUUUUCUUUAUUCUUUUAAUUUUUUUUCAUGGUUGAUUGAUUUUUUUAUUUUUUUUUUAAUUUUUUUCAAGGUUGAUUUUAUUUUCUUUAUUAUUUUAAUUUUUUUUCACGGUUGAUUGAUUUUCUUUAUUUUUUUAAUUUUUUUCAUGGUUGAUUGAUUUUCUUUAUUUGUUUUAUUUUUUUUCAUGGCUGAUUGAUUUUCUUAAUUUAUUUUCAAUUUUUACAUGAUUGAUUGAUUUUCUUUAUUUUUUUAAUUUUUUUUUGGCUGAUUUGAUUUUCUUUAUUUUUUAGUUUUUUUCAUGAUUGAAUGAUUUUCUUUAUUUUUGUAAAUUUUUUUCAUGGUUGAUCCAUUUUCUGUAUUUUUUUUAAAUUACUUUCAUGAUUGAUUGAUUUUCUUUAUUUUUUUAAUUUUUUUCAUGGUUGAUUGAUUUUCUUUAUUUUUUCAAGUUUUUUCAUGAAUGAUUGAUUUUCUUCAUUCUUUUAUUUUUUUUAUUGUUGAUUGAUUUUAUUUUUUUUUUAUUUUUUUCAUGGUUGAUUGAUUUUCCUUUUUUUUAUUUCUUUCAUGGUUGAUUGAUUUUUUUUUAAUUUUCCAUGGUUGAUUAAUUUUUUUCAUGGUUGAUUGAUUUUUUUUUAAUUUUCCAUGGUUGAUUAAUUUUUUUCAUGGUUGAUUGAAUUCUUUUCAUGGUUGAUUGAUUUUUUUUCAUGGUUGAUUGACUUUUUUUUUCAUGGUUGAAUGAUUUUUAAUUUUUUUUCAUUGUUGAUUGAUUUUUUUGAAUCUUUUUAAAUAGUUUAUGGUUGAUUGAAUUUGUUCAUGUUUUUCAUGGUUGAUUGUUUUUUUUUAAUUUUUUUUCAUGGUUGAUUGACUUUUUUUCAUGGUUGAUUGAUUUUUUAAUUUUUUUUUCAUUGUUGAUUGAUUUUUUUCAAUCUUUUUAAAUUGUUCAUGGUUGAUUGAAUUUUUUCAUGUUUUUUAUCGUUGAUUGUUUUUUUUAAUUUUUUUUCAUGGUUGAUUGAUUUUUUGUCAUGGUUGAUUGAUUUUUUUUAUUUUUUUUUUUCAUGGUUGAUUGGUUUUAUUAAUCUACUUCACUUUUUUCAUGGUUAAUUGUUUUUUUCAUGGUUGUAUGAUUUUUUUCAUGGUUGAUUGUUUCUAAUUAUUUUUAUUAAUUUUUUCAUGGUUGAUUUUUUUUUAAUUUUUUAUGGUUGAUUGGUUUUAUUUAUUUUUUACUUUUUUCAUCGUUGAUUGGUUUUAUUUCUUUUUUUUUCUUUUCAUUUUUUAUAUUUUUCAUGGUUUCCGAAGUUUCAGGAUUGUUUCCGACUUUUUACGAUUUUUCGGGAUUUUUCUGGAUUUUUUGGAUUUUUAUGGGGAUUCCGAUUUUUAAAGAUUUUUUCAAAUUUCUUCAAGUUUUUCUGGUUUUUUUAGAGUUUUUGAUGUUUUUCAAGAUACUUUCCGAUUACUUUAAAUUUUUAAGGAUUUUCAGGCAUUUUUUGGGAUUUUUCUCAAUAUUUUACCAAAUUUUCGGAAAUUUUUCAGAUUUUAUUUCGUUUUUUGCGGAUUUUUUUUUCAAUUUUUUCCGAUUUUUCGGGAUUUUUUUGGAUUCUAUUCUGAUUUCUCCAAAUUUUUUUUGGUUUUCUGAUUUUUCCGGACAUUUUCCGAUUUUUUAUAGCUUUUCAGGACUUUGAAGAAU
Rhopilema esculentum is the source of this 10527-nucleotide non-coding RNA. The record is from RefSeq and is a predicted model, not a curated record. NCBI's taxonomy places the organism in Eukaryota, Metazoa, Cnidaria, Scyphozoa, Rhizostomeae, Rhizostomatidae.